GUAAAUAACAACUCAGAAACUCGAAAUCAAAAGAUCGUAACAUGCAGAUGAAUCUGUUCUUAGAUCUGAAAUAUUAUGAAAGGGAACAGACGAUUACCAUGCUAUCAUCAUACGUCGGGGAUUCUGCAUAAAUCUGAAGAAACCUGGUUUAUAUUAUGGAAACCAAGAGCAAGAACAAUGGUGGAUUCAUUGUCUGCUCCGGCUGCAAGAGAGGAAAGGAUAUAUAGUACUACAACCGUGAAAGAUAAGUUCCUUUAAACAAUUGUAAAAAGAACUAUUUAUUUAAAUAGAAAGUUCUUAGACUUUUAGUCUGAUAUAUUCUGUUGUAGUAAGUAGACAGUACCAAACGCUUACAUUCUCAUCAGCCAAGAUGAAUUUUAUGGUUUCCCUUGAUAGUUGUAUGUUUUGUUUUCAAGAGUGUAGAACCUUCACAUGAAUAAACCAUGUAUUUUUCGAGGGCCUCAAGUCUUU
This is a long non-coding RNA of Brassica oleracea var. oleracea, 471 nucleotides long. RefSeq lists it as uncharacterized. The transcript is spliced from 3 exons. Lineage: Eukaryota; Viridiplantae; Streptophyta; Magnoliopsida; Brassicales; Brassicaceae. The record is from RefSeq and is a predicted model, not a curated record.